This 434-nucleotide long non-coding RNA is filed under the name Homo sapiens (human). Its description in RNAcentral is "HSALNT0354444". The record is from RNAcentral. Lineage: Eukaryota; Metazoa; Chordata; Mammalia; Primates; Hominidae.
AUAAUACACACGGUCGCUAAGGCGCUUAGAGAUCUGUGAGGCGCAUGGAGAUUAUUUUACUCUCCGGUCCCUUUUGAUCCAAGAUCCCACAGCAUUAAAAGCAGUAAGAGGGAAGGCAAUGGGCAUCCCUUGCGCCCAGGAACGUGGCCUGGAGGGCCUGGCUGCUCCGAGCAGUAGCAGUGCCCGGCGGGGAGGCUGCAGACGCGGCGUUGGAAGUUGGAUUUCUAGACAAGCUCCGGCAGCUGCCCGGAACCCGUGUCUUUUUCUGGGGCACCCAGGAACAGCAGGGCCAGACGGAGAGAGAGCAGCCUCCAGCCAGGCACAGGGUCCCGAGCUGCCACCGACACCGAGGGAGCCCGGCCCAGGGCUGCAGCGCUUUCCGCCUAGGUGGGCGGCAGCGGGAGCGAGGAGCCGGAGGAAGCCCGGCCUGCGUC